CGGGGGCUCAUUUCUUCAGGACGGUUGGUCACAUGCAAAGCUGCUGGGGAAGCAGGCUCCUCUGGUUCCUCUGGUUCCUCUGGUCUCGGUACUCCCCCCUGGGUGCUCCCCCAGAGCCCUGCUGGCCCCUCCACUGGGAGCAAAGCGAACGAUACGCACACCAGCAAGCUGGAGGGUGAGAAAGCAGAAAUGAAGUUGUUCCCCCCCCCCCGCCCCGCCCGAAUUACUAUGGAACAAUGUGCAGCUCUAUUGUACUUUAACAAGUCAUCCCGUUGCCAUGGUAACCCGGAAGAGGCCUUUGAAGUUCCUCUGGAUGGACAGAGGGAUGCGGGGCGCGGGCCCUGCGGCUCCCGGGCUGGCCGCCAGAGGGCGCGCUCGGGGCGGGGAAGCGCAGCAGGCCUCUGGCUUGUGAGAUGGACCCCCCUCCCCCGGAGAAGCCUCCACCCCGUGCUCAACCGUGCCCUUCUGCUCCGGGAUGGCUUUGGAAGCAAGAGCCCUGGAGUGGGAGCAGCGUGAGUGGAGGAAUGACAAAAAGGAGGCCCAGUGACCAGUUUAGGAAUAAGAACGAGCGCAAAUACCCGCAAAAGAUCGACGUGUGGAUUUAACACAAAAUGUGCCCAAAUCAGCUGCUUUAAAAAGAAAAGAAAUGGACUAAACCGUUCCUCGGAUUGACUUGCUUAUGUGAAGAGUCGAGAAAGCCAAAACAAUCUUGACAAAGAGGAGGUUGAGGACUCACCCUUCCGAUUUCCCCGCGAACUACGAGUUACAGUAACUGACACUUACCAAUAGUAUUUUCCAGCCUGUGAACGUGGACUUUUUCCCUCAAUGUAUUUAGAUCUUUAAGAAAUGCCUUUGAAAAAAUAUCUUCUAUGUUUUUAAAUCAAUAGACCUAUUUUUCUUUAAGAGCAGUGUUAGGUUCCCAGAGCGAUCGUUGUAGAACGUUCAGUCGCCAUGUGACACCCCACCCCCACCACACAGGUUCCCCCGUUUUUAACACCUUGCAUUUGUGUGAUACACGUGUUACAGGUGAUGAGCCAAAAUCAAGAUGUUGUUAUUAACCAAAGUCUACAGUUUACAUUAGGAUUCACAAUUUGUGUUGUUCAUUCUGUGGGUUUGGACAAACACAGUAGCACCGUGUGUCCACCGGUACAGUAUCGUACAGAGUGAUCUCACCACCCUAAAAUUUGCCUGUG
Molecule: long non-coding RNA, 1193 nt
Filed under: Vulpes vulpes (red fox)
Lineage: Eukaryota; Metazoa; Chordata; Mammalia; Carnivora; Canidae
Description: lncRNA (ENSVVUG00000005502.1)
Source: RNAcentral